GAUGAACGCUGGCGGCGUGCCUAAUACAUGCAAGUCGAGCGAACAGACGAGGAGCUUGCUCCUCUGGCGUUAGCGGCGGACGGGUGGGUAACACGUGGAUAACCUACCUAUAAGACUGGGAUAACUUCGGGAAACCGGAGCUAAUACCGGAUAAUAUAUUGAACCGCAUGGUUCAAUAGUGAAAGACGGUUUUGCUGUCACUUAUAGAUGGAUCCGCGCCGCAUUAGCUAGUUGGUAAGGUAACGGCUUACCAAGGCAACGAUGCGUAGCCGACCUGAGAGGGUGAUCGGCCACACUGGAACUGAGACACGGUCCAGACUCCUACGGGAGGCAGCAGUAGGGAAUCUUCCGCAAUGGGCGAAAGCCUGACGGAGCAACGCCGCGUGAGUGAUGAAGGUCCUCGGAUCGUAAAACUCUGUUAUUAGGGAAGAACAAAUGUGUAAGUAACUAUGCACGUCUUGACGGUACCUAAUCAGAAAGCCACGGCUAACUACGUG
This 497-nucleotide ribosomal RNA is filed under the name uncultured bacterium. Its description in RNAcentral is "partial 16S ribosomal RNA". It matches the Rfam family "Bacterial small subunit ribosomal RNA", at positions 28 to 507 of the family's 1533-position model. The record is from RNAcentral.